AUUGAACGCUGGCGGCAGGCCUAACACAUGCAAGUCGAGCGAGCGGCGGACGGGGGUGUAAUGUAUGGGGACUGUCCGUGAGAGGGGGAUAUCUACUGUAAACGGUAUCUAAUAUCCCAUACUCUCGGGUAACCCCUAUGGGAUUAGCUAGUAGGUGAGGUAAUGGCUCCCCUAGGCGACGAUCCCUAGCUGGUCUGAGAGGAUGAUCCGCCACACUGGGACUGAGACACGGCCCAGACUCCUACGGAGGCAGCAGUGGGGAAUAUUGCACAAUGGGCGCAAGCCUGAUGCAGUCAUGCCGCGUGUAUGAAGAAGGCCCUAGGGUUGUAAAGUACUUUCAGUCGGGAGGCGUUACCGACAGAAGAAGCACCGGCUAACUCCGUGCCAGCCGCCGCGGUAAUAC
RNAcentral lists this ribosomal RNA (403 nucleotides) under uncultured bacterium. RNAcentral's name for it is "partial 16S ribosomal RNA". It matches the Rfam family "Bacterial small subunit ribosomal RNA", at positions 30 to 526 of the family's 1533-position model. The record is from RNAcentral.